GCCAGCCACAGCACAGGACACAAGUGCCUUCAUAAGAUGUAAUAGGCUUAUAUUUAUCUUCUUUUAUGCCUAUUUAUAUUUUAGAGAUAUAUUAUUCCCCCUUCAUGGGUUUGUCAUUUAUUCCAACAGAUGCUGAUGGUGUUCUCACACGUGUGGACCCCCAUGCUACAGCAGAACUCCUUGAAGCUGAGGAAACAGAUGAAGAGGACACAUUGUCUGCUGCCACAGAGAGGGAUCCAGAGAGGCCUACAGAAAACAUGGCUGGGCAACAGGAGGGUCCAUCAACUUCAACAGCACAGAUGAAUACAGUGAGAUGUGCAGCAACUGCCAGAG
Sander lucioperca (pikeperch) is the source of this 333-nucleotide long non-coding RNA. RefSeq lists it as uncharacterized. NCBI's taxonomy places the organism in Eukaryota, Metazoa, Chordata, Actinopteri, Perciformes, Percidae. The record is from RefSeq and is a predicted model, not a curated record. The transcript has 3 exons.